This is a long non-coding RNA of Salvia splendens (bonfire salvia), 478 nucleotides long. RefSeq lists it as uncharacterized. The record is from RefSeq and is a predicted model, not a curated record. The transcript has 2 exons. NCBI's taxonomy places the organism in Eukaryota, Viridiplantae, Streptophyta, Magnoliopsida, Lamiales, Lamiaceae.
CUACUUAGGCUAGUGCACUGAUGGGGAUCGUGAGCCAUCCUUUAGGUCGGCCGGUCCAGUGAUCGAGUUUGUGGCCACAUUCUCGUUUUACAUGAUGGUUCAGAUAUGGUACAUGAUGGGGGAUGACGAUGAUGUUUGCAUGCGCAUGCACCUUUUUAUGGAAAUGAUUUUAGUGUCUCUCGACCUUUUAAAGUAAAACCCGAGUUUCACUCAAUGGUGGCUUGACAAAACCUAUCCGGUUGAGCGAGGACGGGAGGCGGAGGAUGUUGAGCAAUGGGCCAAGAUUCAUAUUCAAUAAACGUUCCGGUUGCUACUGUGUCUUCAUACAUAGUAGUAGUCAAACUCUCAAUUGCUUCUGCUACUCUAAGUUUUACAACUAUGUUUUUCUUUAAAUUUGUUGGACUAUUUUUAUUCGAACCAUGUUGUUUCAUGACCUAAGACAAUGAUUUGUUAAUGAAGUUUCGUCUUUCGAUCUACA